CAGUAGCCGCGGGAAUACGUAGGGUGCAAGCGUUACUCGGAAUUACUGGGCGUAAAGCGUGCGUAGGUGGUGGUUUAAGUCCGUUGUGAAAGCCCUGGGCUCAACCUGGGAAUUGCAGUGGAUACUGGGCCACUAGAGUGUGGUAGAGGAUAGUGGAAUUUCCGGUGUAGCAGUGAAAUGCGUAGAUAUGCGGAGGAACACCGAUGGCGAAGGCAGCCCCCUGGGCCAAUACUGACGCUCAUGCACGAAAGCGUGGGGAGCAAACAGGAUUAGAUACCCGUGUAGUCCCUGUCUCUUAUAC
Molecule: ribosomal RNA, 301 nt
Filed under: uncultured bacterium
Lineage: Bacteria
Description: partial 16S ribosomal RNA
Rfam family: Bacterial small subunit ribosomal RNA
Source: RNAcentral